GGGGGUGUAGCUCAGUGAUAGAGCGCGUGCUUAGCAUGCACGAGGCCCAGGGUUCAAUCCCUGGCACCUCCA
RNAcentral lists this transfer RNA (72 nucleotides) under Mus pahari (shrew mouse). RNAcentral's name for it is "tRNA-Ala (AGC) (tRNA-Ala-AGC-9-1)". It matches the Rfam family "tRNA". From Rfam's summary of the family: Transfer RNA (tRNA) molecules are approximately 80 nucleotides in length. The record is from RNAcentral. Lineage: Eukaryota; Metazoa; Chordata; Mammalia; Rodentia; Muridae.